Molecule: long non-coding RNA, 1234 nt
Organism: Magnolia sinica
Lineage: Eukaryota; Viridiplantae; Streptophyta; Magnoliopsida; Magnoliales; Magnoliaceae
Exons: 4
Source: RefSeq, a predicted model, not a curated record
GUUUAUACUUUGAUUUUAUUUCACUUGAUUGCAGAAUUCUGGAAAAUCAUCGGUUUUGGAGAGCAUCGUUGGGUGGGAUUUUCUUCCUAGCGGAUCUGCUGCACGAGACGGACAAAGGACAGACGGAGCAUGUUGAGUUUCUUCACUUGCCAAAGAGGAGAUUUUCAGGUUUCAGUAAAUGUUGUUUUUCAAUUGUUUCGUAAAUUCAAUGUUUGAUUUAUGGGUCUCUUUUGCCCCGGCAUCUCCCCUACAUUGUCGCUGCUUCUUGAUUUUAUUUUAAUCCUGAAUUCUCUCAAUUCUGACUCAACAAGCACACACAUACAACAACAAACAUUGCAAGUAGGCAGAGGAAUUGCAGAGGCAAAAUAAUUACUCUCUACUGCCAUUGAUCCGGAUCGUUUUUUAUGAAAUAAGGGAACUUCGAAGAACGUAUUGGAAAUUGGAUAUCCAAGAGAUGACACUGGAUAUGAAAAUUCACCUCAAUCAGAGUAUAUUGACCUCCCCCAAUACAGGCGAGCAACACAUGUGUUCGCAGAAACCAUUACUCACCAACAGCUUUGAUUCUGUUCACUCGUCUUUACUUCCUAGCUUUGCCACACUACUGACAAGUUGUUCAAAGAAAAUUUGAAAGGUAUGAUAUGCAAACAAGAAGUGUUGUAGUCCUGGCAUAUUGCUGUGUAGAUUUUCUUUUGUACACUGUUCAAAAAACUUGUGGCCUGACUGAAAGCUUGGCAGAGUUGACCUGUUCAAAAAGCUGGCAAAACAUUCCAAGUUGAUGAUUUGGAGUAUUAGUAGUUUCAACCCAGCAAAUUUCUGGCUAGUUGAAACUAAAGUGAAACUUUCAGUUUCUUAUGGGAAUUGCCGGCAUUUUGUUUGGUAUCAUCUUUUUGUUGAUUCCGUUAACUCUUUUACUGCUUCCAACGCAAGGAAAACCCAAUUGAAAUUGGUGAACUUUUGGCUUGUAUUAUUGGUUUCUUCUGGCUUGUAAUGGAAAGGUCCCCUUCAUGGUUACACUUGUAAUCUGUUUUCUCUUUCUGUACCAAUUUCUUCUGACCGAGGUUUACGAAUGUUGCAGAGGCAUCCGAACCAAUGGAAACAGAUUUCAUGUCCCAAAUCAUGGUAUUGUUUUUUCUCUUGACCAUUCAAUUUCUUUGAUAUAUGGACCGCAAAGAUGAUAAGCCCAACCGUGCCAUCUAUGUUCAACAAGCUAAUGCAUGAAGUGGCUUGAUGAGAG